AGUGAACGCUGGCGGUAGGCCUAACACAUGCAAGUCGAACGGCAGCACAGUAAGAGCUUGCUCUUACGGGUGGCGAGUGGCGGACGGGUGAGGAAUACAUCGGAAUCUACUUUUUCGUGGGGGAUAACGUAGGGAAACUUACGCUAAUACCGCAUACGACCUACGGGUGAAAGCAGGGGAUCUUCGGACCUUGCGCGAUUGAAUGAGCCGAUGUCGGAUUAGCUAGUUGGCGGGGUAAAGGCCCACCAAGGCGACGAUCCGUAGCUGGUCUGAGAGGAUGAUCAGCAACACUGGAACUGAGACACGGUCCAGACUCCUACGAGAGGCAGCAGUGGGGAAUAUUGGACAAUGGGCGCAAGCCUGAUCCAGCCAUACCGCGUGGGUGAAGAAGGCCUUCGGGUUGUAAAGCCCUUUUGUUGGGAAAGAAAAGCAGCAGGUUAAUACCCCGCUGUUCUGACGGUACCCAAAGAAUAAGCACCGGCUAACUUCGUG
Molecule: ribosomal RNA, 492 nt
Filed under: uncultured bacterium
Lineage: Bacteria
Description: partial 16S ribosomal RNA
Rfam family: Bacterial small subunit ribosomal RNA
Source: RNAcentral